UACAGAGGUCCCAAGCGUUGUUCGGAUUCACUGGGCGUAAAGGGUGCGUAGGUGGUCGGGUAAGUCUGAUGUGAAAGCUCGCGGCUCAACUGCGAAAUGGCAUCGGAAACUAUCCGGCUAGAGGGAUGGAGGGGGGACUGGAAUUCUCGGUGUAGCAGUGAAAUGCGUAGAUAUCGAGAGGAACACCGGUGGCGAAGGCGAGUCCUUAGACAUCUCCUGACGCUGAGGCACGAAAGCUAGGGGAGCAAACAGG
RNAcentral lists this ribosomal RNA (253 nucleotides) under uncultured bacterium. Its description in RNAcentral is "partial 16S ribosomal RNA". It matches the Rfam family "Bacterial small subunit ribosomal RNA", at positions 524 to 776 of the family's 1533-position model. The record is from RNAcentral.